This 28-nucleotide non-coding RNA is filed under the name Bombyx mori (domestic silkworm). The record is from RNAcentral. Lineage: Eukaryota; Metazoa; Arthropoda; Insecta; Lepidoptera; Bombycidae.
UCCCUUGACGUUGCUAGAUUUUUCAUCC